RNAcentral lists this long non-coding RNA (492 nucleotides) under Elaeis guineensis (African oil palm). Its description in RNAcentral is "long non-coding RNA (EGUI_LNC023954)". Lineage: Eukaryota; Viridiplantae; Streptophyta; Magnoliopsida; Arecales; Arecaceae. The record is from RNAcentral.
GCUUGCCCGCCUUGCCUCCGAGAUCAACUCCUACAGCAAGAACCUGCUCUCUGUCGGCGCCCCCGAAGGCCCAGAUCCAAGGGAGGUGGAGAUGUACCUGGAGGAGAUUCUGGAACUGACCCAGCUCGGGGAGGAUUACACUGAAUUCAUGAUAUCCAAGAUCAGGGGACUGGGUUCCGUCGAUCCUGAGCUUGGGCCUAGGGCCACCAAGGCCUUCAGGAGUGGGAGCUUCAACAGAGUGGUGCAGGAUCUUACUGGUUUCUAUGUGAUCCUGGAGGAGUUCUUCAUGGUCGAGAAUGUCAGGAAGGCUAUCACAAUCGAUGAGCACGUGCCCGACAGCCUCACGACCUCAAUGGUGGACGAUGUGUUCUAUGUGCUGCAGAGCUGCUGCAGGAGGGCUAUAUCGACCUCCAGUAUCAAUUCAGUGUUUGCGGUGCUGAGUGGGGCGAUGAACCUGCUGAGCAAUGAGUACCAGGAAGCACUGCAGCAGAA